GAUUCGUGGCUCAGGACGAACGCUGGCGGCGUGCCUAACACAUGCAAGUCGAGCGGGGACUUUGCGACUGAGUUGAAGACUUCGGUCGGAGAUGAAGAUGUAAAGUUCUAGCGGCGGACGGGUGAGUAACGCGUGAGCAACCUGUCCCUUACAGGGGGAUAACACAGCGAAAGUUGUACUAAUACCGCAUGAGACCACAGUAUCACAUGGUACAGGGGUCAAAGGAGCAAUCCGGUAAGGGGUGGGCUCGCGUCCGAUUAGAUAGUUGGUGAGGUAACGGCCCACCAAGUCGACGAUCGGUAGCCGACCUGAGAGGGUGAUCGGCCACAUUGGGACUGAGACACGGCCCAAACUCCUACGGGAGGCAGCAGUGGGGAAUAUUGGGCAAUGGGGGAAACCCUGACCCAGCAACGCCGCGUGAGGGAAGAAGGUUUUCGGAUCGUAAACCUCUGUCCUUGGUGAAGAGUAAGAGACGGUAGCCAAGGAGGAAGCCCCGGCUAACUACGUGCCAGCCGCAGC
Molecule: ribosomal RNA, 519 nt
Filed under: uncultured bacterium
Lineage: Bacteria
Description: bacterial SSU rRNA
Rfam family: Bacterial small subunit ribosomal RNA
Source: RNAcentral